Molecule: ribosomal RNA, 432 nt
Filed under: uncultured Anoxybacillus sp.
Lineage: Bacteria; Bacillati; Bacillota; Bacilli; Caryophanales; Anoxybacillaceae
Description: bacterial SSU rRNA
Rfam family: Bacterial small subunit ribosomal RNA
Source: RNAcentral
UUAAUCGAAGCAACGCGAAGAACCUUACCAGGUCUGACAUCCCUGACAACCCGAGAGAUCGGCGUUCCCCUUCGGGGGACAGGGUGACAGGUGGUGCAUGGUUGUCGUCAGCUCGUGUCGUGAGAUGUUGGGUUAAGUCCCGCAACGAGCGCAACCCUCGACCUUAGUUGCCAGCAUUCAGUUGGGCACUCUAAGGUGACUGCCGGCUAAAAGUCGGAGGAAGUGGGGAUGACGUCAAAUCAUCAUGCCCCUUAUGACCUGGGCUACACACGUGCUACAAUGGGCGGUACAAAGGGUCGCGAACCCGCGAGGGGGAGCCAAUCCCAAAAAGCCGCUCUCAGUUCGGAUUGCAGGCUGCAACUCGCCUGCAUGAAGCCGGAAUCGCUAGUAAUCGCGGAUCAGCAUGCCGCGGUGAAUACGUUCCCGGGCCUU